UUAGGAAUAUUCCACAAUGGGGGCAACCCUGAUGGAGCAACGCCGCGUGGAGGAUGAAGGCCUUAGGGUCGUAAACUUCUUUUCUCUGCGAUGAAUAUGACAGUAACAGAGGAAUAAGGGUCUGCUAACUACGUGCCAGCAGCCGCGGUCAUACGUAGGACCCAAGCGUUAUCCGGAUUGACUGGGCGUAAAGAGUUGCGUAGGUGGUUUGUUAAGCGAAUAGUGAAAUCUUGUGGCUCAACCAUAAGGCUAUUAUUCGAACUGGCAAACUCGAGAACAGGAGAGGUAUCUGGAAUUCCCAGUGUAGGAGUGAAAUCCGUAGAUAUUGGGAGGAACACCAAUGGCGUAGGCAGGAUACUGGACUGUUUCUGACACUAAGGCACGAAAGCGUGGGGAGCGAACUGGAUUAGAUACCCAGGUAGUCCACGCUGUAACUAUGGAUGCUAGCAGUAAGCCGUAUCGACCCGGUUUGUUGCGAAGCUAACGCGUUAAG
This 493-nucleotide ribosomal RNA is filed under the name uncultured Candidatus Saccharibacteria bacterium. Its description in RNAcentral is "bacterial SSU rRNA". It matches the Rfam family "Bacterial small subunit ribosomal RNA", at positions 355 to 864 of the family's 1533-position model. The record is from RNAcentral. Lineage: Bacteria; Candidatus Saccharimonadota.